GUGAAGAGAUAUAUAGAUGAAUAGAAGUAGAUGGGUUGGUAGAGAGAUAGAUAAGUAGAAAUGGAUAGUCGAUGGGUGAAGAGAUGGAUAGGUAGAUGAAUAGAAGUAGAUGGGUAGGUAGACAGCGUAUGGAUGGCUGGAUAGGUAGGUGGAUGGAUAGAAGUAGAUGGGUUGGCAGAGAGAUAAACUUUGUAUUCUUUUGUCAAAAUGUAAUUUGAUCCAUCUCGUAAACAAUUUUCCUUUUCAGAUGACAUCAUGAAGACCUCUCAUUUUUCAACCCUUCCCUCCAACCAUCGGCCAUGUUCACAGAAUCAAUUAAGCAGGGAAGGGAAGGGAUCUCUGGGAAGACUGCGGGUUCGGAGAGGCCUUGAGCCCGAGCUUUGGACACCGUGGAGGUGGGAUAUCCAGUAGAUAUGAAUAAACGGGUUGAGGAGGAUGAAAGCUGUUCGGCAGAUAAAGCCAUAGCAGCCUGUCGGAAUCCUGCCACGCUGGUCCUGAUUUAUGGCCAUCUCAGUCGGACUCCCUACCAAAUCCACCCGCUGCCUUUCUUGUUCAGUGGAGAUGCCUAUGCUUGAGCUGAUAGGAUGUGGUCUGGUUCGUCACACUGAACCUGAGGACACAGCUGAUGCCUCCGAGUAGCACUCUGAUGUUCCCAGUUCCUCAUCUCUCACACAGCAUUAAAAAGUCUGGAUAAAAGUGACCCUAGAUGCCACACACAGUCACAGCGGCUCUGAAGCACCCCGCUGAGAGCUCAGAUGUCAGAGGUCGGCCUUCACCAUCAUAACCUCUACAGAAGUGUCUUCCGGUCUUUCACAGCUCUGACCUCAGUGUACUGGACCCCGCAGAUGCAUGUGACCUUCCCAUGAAGUGCAUUUGGAGAAGUCACACCGUGCUGCCACCAGUUCGGUUCUUGGAAAGCACGCCUCAAAAUUCAAUCACACACGAGCACCAUCCAGGCACCCAACUCCACCCCCUUGUUGACUUGAUUAAGAGUGCCGUGCAGGCAGAUGUAAAGGGCUGUCAGAGAGGAAUGUCAGGGAGUGAGAGCGGGGACAGUGUCCCAGCAGGCCAUGUCUUGGCUGGGGAGGGUUACAGUGGCUGGCUGCCCGCCUGCU
Long non-coding RNA from Cyprinus carpio carpio, 1115 nucleotides. Lineage: Eukaryota; Metazoa; Chordata; Actinopteri; Cypriniformes; Cyprinidae. The record is from Ensembl.